CCUCUUCCCAGGAACCAGAAACCUGUUGGAAGGUGCUGGAAGGCUCCCUGCUUCCUGCCUGGUGCUCAAAGUGCUUGGCGCAGGCAGCACGGGGCCCUCUGUGGGGUGGAGUCAGCCGCACUGCCACCUCAACACCUACAGAACAGCCCCUUGGUCUCCGCACAAGAAGUCGAUUCCCCAGGGCCAGCCCCUGGUGCCCACCUGGGCUUGGGCCCACCGUCGGGCUCAGCUGGUGCCCCAGGCCCCCUGGAGUUCUCCAAGCUCCACCUCUGGAGGGCCUGGCGAUGCUGCCACCCUCGGGGGCCAUGUAACACUUGCACUAGGCAUCGCUCUGUGCUUAACGUGCUAAUAGACUCUCUCACUUCAUCCCAGCGGCCACCUGAUGACCAAUUUAGCAGAAGAGGAGCUGGCAGAGACCGCGUGAGCAGCUGAGCCCCUGAGCGGCAGAGCCGGCGUUCGGUGCCUGCACUAGCCGUCGGGUUCAGAGUUCAUCUGCAGAGAUAAAAAUGAUGAGGAUGCCCGAGAGUGGGAUUGCCCCUGCUUUGGAUGGCCUGCGGUCCAGCGUGCUUCCUUGACCCUCCCCACCAGGUGCCCCAGCACAAGCCCAAGUCCCUCAAGUCCUUGCUAAUGCUCUCCUACUGACAUGCCCUGUGGUUCCCCAUGGUGUGCCGAUCCCUCGAUUCCACCGCAGCUGUGUUCCGGGGCGGAGUCUGUGGAUGGAAGGCUUGGAGGGUGGAUCCCUCUGUUGGGCCUGCUUGCUUGAAUUUCCCUCAUCUGGACUGGUGGAUUCCUCAAGCCUCAUCCUGAUGCUAUGCCCCACCCUCACGACCCUGACCCUCGAAGGAAAAGGUGGAGAGAACCUGAGACUGUAGAAAGGAACGUGGAACACGGAGGACUCAUUGCCAUGCCCAGGAUACCCUCUGCACAGGGAACGUGGAGCUCCGGGAACCAGAGGCUACACCAGUAUCAGCCGCAUCCGUGCACACUUGUCUGCACUUGAGGCCUGGGGCAGCUACUGCGUGUGUGUGUGUUGGAGGGGGACGGAGGAUGUUGGAGAGAGAAAGCCUUCAAUCCCAUCAGGAGCUUCUGUCCGCGUUCACACGGAAGGAUCUGGGGGGCACUGAAGCACAUCCAUAAAUUUUAUUUGAAAAUACUGUGUAUGCAGUAUAAAUGCAGUGGGGAAAAAAGACUGGAAGAAAAUAUUCUGAAACGUUAACAGUGGUUAUGUCUUGCGGUGGGAUCAAGGAUUUUUAUACUUUCAUGUGUUUUCCAAAUUUUUUACACCGAACACGUGUUAGUUACAUAAGUUCAAUUUUAUUUAUUUAUUUUUAAACCAAAUUCUCCAGCCAACUGUGCUCUUCUCCACUUGCAGUAACUUUCCUUUGAGUCAGAUUUCUGGGUGAACCCGAGAAACAAUGACUCCCUCUCGAGCUCACACUAGUUCACACUCAUGUUUUCCCUCCUUCCUCCCUAGACAAUGGAUGCCCGGGCCGCUCUGCGCAGGCGCACCGCUGGGGCUGAGACAACGGCGUCCUGUCCUCAGGGAGCUUACAGCCUUGUAGCAUUCUCUCCCUCCGUCCCUCUCCUCCCUCCGGCCGAGGUCGGGCUCUGAUGGGAUGGGGCUGCCCUCCACCCUGGGCUGUCCAAUUUCCAGGUCCCUCUUUCCUUCCCCACUGACUCCAGCCCUGAACUUGAGGGGAGGGAGGCAGCGGGACCCUGCUGAGCCCUGGGAGUCGGGGCCGUCCCUCCAGUGACCGAGCCUCUCCCUGCCGAAGCUCCCUCCCUGCAGCUUCUUCCCUUCCUG
This 1804-nucleotide long non-coding RNA is filed under the name Equus caballus (horse). RNAcentral's name for it is "lncRNA (ENSECAG00000057435.1)". The record is from RNAcentral. Lineage: Eukaryota; Metazoa; Chordata; Mammalia; Perissodactyla; Equidae.